This 628-nucleotide ribosomal RNA is filed under the name uncultured bacterium. RNAcentral's name for it is "bacterial SSU rRNA". It matches the Rfam family "Bacterial small subunit ribosomal RNA", at positions 51 to 664 of the family's 1533-position model. The record is from RNAcentral.
ACACAUGCAAGUCGAGGGGCAGCAUGAGGAGUCAGCAAUGACACCUUGAUGGCGACCGGCGCAAGGGUGCGUAACGCGUGAGCAACCUGCCCGUCACGGGGGGAUAACCGGUGGAAACGCCGACUAAUAUCCCAUGGUUUCCGUUGGGGGCAUCCCCGGCGGAAUAAAGGCUUCGGCCGGUGACGGAUGGGCUCGCGUGACAUUAGGCAGUAGGCGGGGUAACGGCCCACCUAACCUACGAUGUCUAGGGGUUCUGAGAGGAAGGUCCCCCACACUGGAACUGAGACACGGUCCAGACUCCUACGGGAGGCAGCAGUGAGGAAUAUUGGUCAAUGGGCGGAAGCCUGAACCAGCCAUGCCGCGUGACGGAAUACGGCCCUAUGGGUCUUAAACGUCUUUGGUCCCGGAGCAAUAAGAGCCACGCGUGGCUCGAUGAGAGUACGGGAAGAACAAGCAUCGGCUAACUCCGUGCCAGCAGCCGCGGUAAUACGGGGGAUGCGAGCGUUAUCCGGAUUUAUUGGGUUUAAAGGGUGCGUAGGCGGGGUGGUAAGUCAGCCGUGAAAUGUCCACGCUCAACGUGGAACGUGCGUUUGAUACUGCCGUCCUGGAGUGCGGAUGCCGUGGGAGG